UACAGAGGUCUCGAGCGUUGUUCGGAUUCAUUGGGCGUAAAGGGUGCGUAGGUGGCGCUGUAAGUCGGGUGUGAAAUCCUGAGGCUUAACCUCGGAACUGCAUUCGAUACUGCGGUGCUUGAGGACUGGAGAGGAGACUGGAAUUCAUGGUGUAGCAGUGAAAUGCGUAGAGAUCAUGAGGAAGACCAGUGGCGAAGGCGGGUCUCUGGACAAUUGCUGACGCUCAGGCACGAAAGCGUGGGGAGCAAAAGGG
RNAcentral lists this ribosomal RNA (253 nucleotides) under uncultured bacterium. Its description in RNAcentral is "partial 16S ribosomal RNA". It matches the Rfam family "Bacterial small subunit ribosomal RNA", at positions 524 to 776 of the family's 1533-position model. The record is from RNAcentral.